This is a long non-coding RNA of Lolium perenne, 528 nucleotides long. RefSeq lists it as uncharacterized. The record is from RefSeq and is a predicted model, not a curated record. Lineage: Eukaryota; Viridiplantae; Streptophyta; Magnoliopsida; Poales; Poaceae.
CAACCUCUGGCUGAGUACGAUAUGAACACGGGACGAGAACAAACCAACUUCAAUCCCCAGAAAUUCGUCCCGAUUUCGUUAGAAUCCGUGACCCCUACGCCACGAAAACUCUCCUAUAUGUACUUCCGCAUCGGCCCCUCUCCGUUUUUCUAAAAAUCGCAAACUCUAGAUGACGAAAAGUUCAAUUUCCGAACCCGCCGGAGCACCACCAUCGAGCUCAGGAAGGAAGAGAACCACAAGAACACGCACGCGAGGUCGCCGGAGUUUCGCCGGACUUCGCCAUCUCCAGCUGGGAAUAGCAGCCGCUCAGGACCACUCCGACGGACGCCAUUGACGCAAGCGAAACCACGAAGGAGAGGGGAACCCCGUAAAGAUCUUCGCCAAGCCAGGGGAUCACAAGCACGACGCCGACGUCCUCGCCCGACCACCACGCCGUCCCGUCCGUCCUGAUCGUCUUCACCACACCUGAUUUAUUCGGAGUACGAGAAAAAUUCACAAGGAAGAAAUCAUCAUCAAAUAUUACUAAGG